AAUAUUGCACAAUGGGCGAAAGCCUGAUGCAGCGACGCCGCGUGAGGGGUGACGGCCUUCGGGUUGUAAACCUCUUUCAGUAGGGAAGAAGCGAAAGUGACGGUACCUGCAGAAGAAGCACCGGCUAACUACGUGCCAGCAGCCGCGGUAAUACGUAGGGUGCGAGCGUUAUCCGGAAUUAUUGGGCGUAAGGAGCUCGUAGGCGGUUUGUCGCGUCUGUCGUGAAAGUCCGGGGCUUAACCCCGGAUCUGCGGUGGGUACGGGCAGACUAGAGUGCAGUAGGGGAGACUGGAAUUCCUGGUGUAGCGGUGGAAUGCGCAGAUAUCAGGAGGAACACCGAUGGCGAAGGCAGGUCUCUGGGCUGUAACUGACGCUGAGGAGCGAAAGCAUGGGGAGCGAACAGGAUUAGAUACCCUGGUAGUCCAUGCCGUAAACGUUGGGCACUAGGUGUGGGGACCAUUCCACGGUUUCCGCGCCGCAGCUAACGCAUUAAGCGCCCCGC
Molecule: ribosomal RNA, 502 nt
Filed under: uncultured Gram-positive bacterium
Lineage: Bacteria
Description: bacterial SSU rRNA
Rfam family: Bacterial small subunit ribosomal RNA
Source: RNAcentral